Long non-coding RNA from Carassius gibelio (silver crucian carp), 4879 nucleotides. RefSeq lists it as uncharacterized. The record is from RefSeq and is a predicted model, not a curated record. NCBI's taxonomy places the organism in Eukaryota, Metazoa, Chordata, Actinopteri, Cypriniformes, Cyprinidae. The transcript is spliced from 8 exons.
UCUCUUUUAGCCACCCAGAGAGAGAGAAGAGGAUAAUCCCAGCGACAUCUGUGGCUCUGAGGCUUCCAGAAAUAAUCCGGUGAAAUAAUAUGAUGUUUGUUUGUGUGAAUGCUGUGUGUGCGGUGAGUCCUGCGCGAGCGGGGAGCAGAGUUGCCAUGGAAACGGGGCGUCAACACAAAAACCAUUACUGGCAAACAGUAAUCUCCGUCUCUUGCUGCAGUUUACACUGUUUUAGGAGGACAGAAAGAAACUCUACAGAACAGAAGUGAAGCUCCAAGAUUUCAACAUUUAUGAAGGGAGAUACUGACUUAGAAAUACAGGUGAACUGAAGAAGCUCAUGAAAUACAUGAAUAUGCCUUUUUCAGAAUACAUUUCACCAAUUUUAAGAAGUCCCUGACUUCAUAACCUUGUUUCCUUCUAAUGAACCUGGAACUGCAGAGUAAAUAUUGUUGACUCUGUGUCAGAUUGCUUGUUUUGUUCCUAGACUCUUCAGUGAUGACGAUCAGAGUCUGAGUGAACCUGCUGUCAGACAGGUUGGCCUGAUUGACGAUGCCAUCGUCCAUCGCCGAUGGCUGAUAGACAUCACGAUGCUGCGCUGGCAAACAGCGUCAUCAGCUCCAGUAUCUCGCCCGUGCAUCUGUUGUCAUGCGGAGAAGUCACGUUCUAUAGACAGUUUCUAUAGACAGUUGUGAACGUGCUGACAGCUGGUUGCCCAGGCUAUGGAUUAAAGGUAAUACUGUUGGCCAGCAGAGCCCUGCUCACCCUGACGGCCCACCGCUGCUGUCAGACAACAUCUCCAAGAUGCUAUAAACUCCAGGACUAGAUGUCAAUCCCAAGGUUUCUAGAGAUUACAGCAGCUCCAGACUGAAUCCAAACUCACUUGUGAAGACUUCAGAUGACACCAACGCUCACAAAGACUACAGACAGCGACAACUGUGCAUAAACACACAAAACAUUGGACACACAACCCAGCUAACAAAAAAAGGUCCCCAGGACGUCCCCUAAAUGGCCUCUGCGAACGUCCCCCGGACGUCAGCGUGUAGGGUCCGCUUGACGUCGAGCGGACGUUCGCGAAGACGUCCCGCGGACGUUCAAGGGGACGUUCACAGGACGUGCAGCGGACAUUCGGGACGUUUAGGGGACUUUCACUUUAAAUCCCCUGAAUGUCAUUUUAUUGUACUUUUAAGCUAAUCAAAGACAACAGACACGCUGUAUGAAGCAAAAUAGAUUUAUUUUAAUUGAACAAUGGUAAAGUUGCAGGGCUUUUCGUGUGUGAUUGUGUGUGUGUGUGUUUUGGCGUGUCCGCGUCUCUGGUUGUCAGCUGUGGUUAGUCGAUGGCAUUUCUUUCCAUUGUCUUUUAACCUAAAACAACAAAAUGAACACAUUCAGUAGUGUUAUGACUUUAUAUAUCUAGGACUGUCGUUUAUCCAUUGACAAACGAUUUGUAAAGACUGUUGACAGUUUGGAUUUAGACCAAGCGGUCCGAAAUGUAGCGGACAUGCCUUUUUGCCGCAUAUAGGCGUCUCAGUGUGUAUUUUUACCAUAUGGAAAUUAAAUAUUUAAGUUUAAUAUCUGCCAGUAUUAUAUACGUUUAAUCAUUUCAGCUUUACAAGCUAACGUUAGCUUAGAAAGUGUUCACAUAGCCUAACCUCAGCAGCUGCGUGGGCCAACUUCAGCAAAGGUUUAAAAAGGUAAACUUGAUCAAAUGUAAGCAUUAGGAGAUAAACAGUAGUUAACGUAUCUAUAAUGUCUAAUAAUAUAAAAGAAUAAAUACCUUUUUUGACCAAACAAAAGCGAAAACUCAAAGCCGUGUCUGAGGAAAACACCAGAUGACCGUUAACUGUCAUUAGCGGCUGAGCGUUGCCAUGGAUACAUGCCGCGUGCCCUAAAGUGACGUCAUUCGGUCAUGUGCUCAUUUGAUCGACAGCUGCUUGGAUCCUAUCUCCAGUGUGGCUAUAUUACUUUUUUAUUAGAGCUCCAUGUAGUGUAGCAGUCUUAAAUGCAAUAACUAAAAUAAUUUAUUUCCUAAAUAACUUUUCUUGUCGUCUUACCAACAGUUUAUAUAUACAAUACAAGUUUAUUUAUAUAGCACAAAUAAACAGUUUAAUACGUAAAUGAAAAUAAUUUAUUAAUUUGUCUUACCUGUGUUAUUUUUCACUUUUUUUUCUUCAUGUUUUCCUUGGCAUUCACUCUAUAACAUUCUAGUAGAGCUCCUGGGAUGCAAACAUAUUUUCUUCAUUCAUGCAUAAACCGAAUUGUAGCUCUGUUCAAUUAUAUUAUUGAAAGUUUAUAUCAUCAUGAUUAAGCAUCAUGAUUUUGAUGUUUAAAUACUGAAAACAGACUCCUGAUUUAAUGACAUUUUUCAUUACAGAAGUUACUCCUAUUUUCUUUUUCCAGAAAUGAAAAUUAAUUAAUUUAACAUUAACUUUAUUUUACAAUGUAUUCAAAUCUAUAUAGUAAAAAAAUAUAUAUAUAUCAAUCAGCAAAUCAAAACAUUUUUUUUUUUUUUUUGCAAUCUGUUAUCAUUACAGUUUUGUUUUAGGCAAAAAUACCCUUUAAAAUCCAAUAUGAGUUGAUUUUGUCAACUCUCUUUGUCUGAGUUGCAAGGUGUCAGGUCCAGUGUUGGGAAGGUUACUUUGGAAAUGUUAUAGGUUACAGAUUACAAAUUAAAUUAUUUAAAAUGUAAUAUGUAGUGUCACUGUUUCAAGUGACUUUAAGUAAUGUAACUGAUUACAUUUGAUUACUUUUCUAAAUUUCUAUUGUUUUCAAAUGUUGAUUAUUUUGAAUCAUUUAAAGCAGGCAGGGUUAAUGUUACAGUGGUACUCAACACUGAUUACUCUCAGAUUUUAGAAUCCUUCUUCACUUGAAUUAAGACUAUAAUUUAAUUGUAAAGUACAACCACCUCAAAAUAGGACUUUAGCAGCUCUUUUUACUUUGCAAUAUUUUUUAGGUUAAAUACAGAUUUAAAAUCAUAAGAUAUAGUUUAAUAGCUAUGAUACUGUUUUUGAAAUCAAAUCUUUGCAUAGCUAUGACAGGAAACAUUGGCAUCUAACAAUGCUUUGGAAAAAAAGGCAGUUAAUCUAAAAAUAAAAUUAAAUAAAUAAAUAAUUUACAUAAACCAAAAUAGGAAAUAAAACAGUUAUGGAAUAAGCAUGUGUCAUAUUCUGUGUCUUCAACUCCAGAAACAUUGGUGUCUCAUAUUUUAAAUAUGUAUGUGUGAAAAUAUUCAAAUGUAACUCCCUUUGUAAUCAUUAACAAUAUCAUAAUUAACUGUGAUUUAAUUACAUUUUACAUUACAUUAACAAAUUGCUACAUUUAUUUUGCAAUAGUUACAUGUAACUAGUUACUGCCCAGCACUGGUCAGGUCUGAUGAUAAAAGAUAAAGGACUGCAUUUUUCAAGUGUUGGAAUGGAAAUGGCAGAUGAGGGACGAAACAGGGACGUUCAAACUGUCUCAGACGAAUGUCCUCCGAACGUCCGCCAGCGGACCAAAUCCGGACGUCCUCCGAACGUCAAAAGGGGACCAAAUCCGGACGUCCUCAGAACGUCCGCUGAACGUCCGCCAGCGAACGUCAAACGCGGACCAAAUCCGGACGUCCUCCGAACGUCCGCCGAACGUCCGCCAGCGAACGUCAAAAGGGGACCAAAUCCGGACGUCCUCAGAACGUCCGCUGAACGUCCGCCAGCGAACGUCAAAAGCGGACCAAAUCCGGACGUCCCCCGAACGUCCGCCGAACGUCCGCCAGCGAACGUUAUAAAUCGGACGUACUGCGGACCUAAGCGGACGUUCAGAACGUCCGGGGGACGUCCCCUGUUUGCUGGGAAAACAAAUAUUAUCCUUAUUUUGCCUAUAAGGGUAAAUUUGAUGAUUUUCAAACUGCUUUAUUGUAACGUCUCUUAUAUCUGUAAAUGAACAAUAUUUACUCUCUGAGUUAUGUGGACCUACAUGUCCCCUUUUAUUUGUAAGCAUCACUUUAAAAAUUUUGAAAGAUAAUGUUAAUGUUAACUGAAUACAAAACUAGAGACUUGUUUAGUAAGAUUUUAUCAGAAAAUAUUUUUGAACUUUUAUCAUGCAAUUUAAAACAUUUUAAUUGCUCAAUUAGGAAACACUUUAGAAUAAGGUUCCAUUAGUUAAUGUUAGUUAAUGUAUAAAUUAACAUGAACAAACAAUGAAUAAUACAUUUAUUACUGUAUUUAUUCACCUUCGUUAAUGUUAGUUAAUGAAAAUACAGUUAUUCAUUGUUAGUUCAUGGUAAUUCAUGGUAAUUCACAUUAACUAAUGUUAACAAGCACAACUUUUGAUUUAAAUAAUGCAUUAGUAAAUGUUGAAAUUAACAUGAACUAAGACUUAUAAAUGCUGUAGAAGGAUUGUUCUUGCUUAGUUCAUGUUAACGAAAGUAGUUAACUAACAUUAACUAAUGGAACCUUAUUCUAAAGUGUUACCCUUAAUUAUUGUUUACCUGGUUUUAUUUUGUGUUUAUGUAACUUUUUAAAAAGUUCUUGGCAUGCGAUGCUGACAGCACUGAACACAUGACUUUUUAUUAUGAACUAUGGUCUUCCCAGUGAGUCUCAGUCAUCUCUGGCUUUUUAAACUGUAACCUUGAAACAUGCAUUUCCUGUAAACCUACUUUGAAAUAAGUAUUGUCAAAAGGUGCUAUACUCAUACAACAUUUAACCAUGCAAGUACUGUAGUAAUGGUUAUUUUUGUUUUUACUAUGGUUUUACUGCAAAAGCUGUAGUAAAAUCAUGGUUAAUGUUCAAAAGACUACAAAUAAUCCCGAAUUAUCCACUUUUGAUCAAAGCAUCUGGUAAAUGUUAUUGUAUUUGUACAUGUAAUAUGAAAUAAAUGAAAAUAUUAAUAAAGUUGCGUCUGUUCUUGA